UACAUACUCCCUCCGUUCCAAAUUACUUGUCGCAAAAAUGGAUGUAUCUAGAACUAAAAUACAUCUAGAUACAUCUAUAUCUGCGACAAGUAAUUCGGAACGGAGGGAGUAUAUG
Triticum aestivum (bread wheat) is the source of this 115-nucleotide non-coding RNA. The record is from Rfam. Lineage: Eukaryota; Viridiplantae; Streptophyta; Magnoliopsida; Poales; Poaceae.